This 468-nucleotide ribosomal RNA is filed under the name uncultured bacterium. RNAcentral's name for it is "partial 16S ribosomal RNA". It matches the Rfam family "Bacterial small subunit ribosomal RNA", at positions 28 to 507 of the family's 1533-position model. The record is from RNAcentral.
GACGAACGCUGGCGGCGUGCUUAACACAUGCAAGUCGAACGGAAAGGCCCUGCUUUUGUGGGGUGCUCGAGUGGCGAACGGGUGAGUAACACGUGAGUAACCUGCCCUUGACUUUGGGAUAACUUCAGGAAACUGGGGCUAAUACCGGAUAGGAGCUCCUGCUGCAUGGUGGGGGUUGGAAAGUUUCGGCGGUUGGGGAUGGACUCGCGGCUUAUCAGCUUGUUGGUGGGGUAGUGGCUUACCAAGGCUUUGACAGGUAGCCGGCCUGAGAGGGUGACCGGCCACAUUGGGACUGCGGUACGGCCCAGACUCCUACGGGAGGCAGCAGUGGGGAAUAUUGCACAAUGGGCGGAAGCCUGAUGCAGCAACGCCGCGUGCGGGAUGACGGCCUUCGGGUUGUAAACCGCUUUCGCCUGUGACGAAGCGUGAGUGACGGUAAUGGGUAAAGAAGCACCGGCUAACUACGUG